AAAUAGCCGCCGGAAGAACGGGUAUCAUUGAUGUUGAUAAUUAUGGGGUGAAUAAUGCUCCGCUAUUUU
RNAcentral lists this transfer RNA (69 nucleotides) under Tritoniopsis elegans. RNAcentral's name for it is "tRNA-Ile". Lineage: Eukaryota; Metazoa; Mollusca; Gastropoda; Nudibranchia; Tritoniidae. The record is from RNAcentral.